CAACCCUCAGGCCCUCCCCGCGGGGGCCUGGCGUUGGGGAUCAGGGGCCGCCCGGCGGUCCCUGCCCCCUAAAUUCAGUGGCGGUCGCGCCGCAGCCUCCCCUGCGUAGUAGCAACACCUCGCACCGGAGAGCGGCUCGGCCACGCCGUGAAACCCCCAAUUUCUCAA
This 168-nucleotide unclassified non-coding RNA is filed under the name uncultured Sordariomycetes. RNAcentral's name for it is "sequence contains ITS2". The record is from RNAcentral. Lineage: Eukaryota; Fungi; Ascomycota; Sordariomycetes.